UGCAGUCGAACGGUAACAUUUCUAGCUUGCUAGAAGAUGACGAGUGGCGGACGGGUGAGUAAUGCUUGGGAACUUGCCAUUGGGAGGGGGAUAACAGUUGGAAACGACUGCUAAUACCGCAUAACGUCUUUGGACCAAAGGGGGCUUUUAGCUCUCGCCUGAUGAGAGGCCCAAGUGAGAUUAGCUAGUUGGUGAGGUAAAGGCUCACCAAGGCGACGAUCUCUAGCUGUUCUGAGAGGAAGAUCAGCCACACUGGGACUGAGACACGGCCCAGACUCCUACGGGAGGCAGCAGUGGGGAAUAUUGCACAAUGGGGGCAACCCUGAUGCAGCCAUGCCGCGUGUGUGAAGAAGGCCUUCGGGUUGUAAAGCACUUUCAGGUGUGAGGAAAGGGUGAUGGUUAAUACCCAUCAUCUGUGACGUUAACACCAGAAGAAGCACCGGCUAACUCCGUGCCAGCAGCCGCGGUAAUACGGAGGGUGCGAGCGUUAAUCGGAAUUACUGGGCGUAAAGCGCACGCAGGCGGUUUGUUAAGCUAGAUGUGAAAGCCCCGGGCUCAACCUGGGAGGGUCAUUUAGAACUGGCAGACUAGAGUCUUGGAGAGGGGAGUGGAAUUCCACGUGUAGCGGUGAAAUGCGUAGAUAUGUGGAGGAACAUCAGUGGCGAAGGCGACUCCCUGGCCAAAGACUGACGCUCAUGUGCGAAAGUGUGGGUAGCGAACAGGAUUAGAUACCCUGGUAGUCCACACCGUACACGCUGUCUACUAGCUGUGUGUGAUUUUAAAUCGUGCGUAGCGAA
This 797-nucleotide ribosomal RNA is filed under the name Alteromonas sp. Its description in RNAcentral is "bacterial SSU rRNA". It matches the Rfam family "Bacterial small subunit ribosomal RNA", at positions 56 to 850 of the family's 1533-position model. Lineage: Bacteria; Pseudomonadati; Pseudomonadota; Gammaproteobacteria; Alteromonadales; Alteromonadaceae. The record is from RNAcentral.